Molecule: long non-coding RNA, 1458 nt
Organism: Vigna radiata var. radiata (mung bean)
Lineage: Eukaryota; Viridiplantae; Streptophyta; Magnoliopsida; Fabales; Fabaceae
Exons: 6
Source: RefSeq, a predicted model, not a curated record
GUUGCAUAUUCGUUUUAGUCCGUUUUCAUCUUGUGUGACUUUCACUAGUGUGUGAGGCGUCUUUGCUCCUUCGUUUCAUUUUCAUCAGUGUGUGUUGCCUCAAGCGGUAGGACUCCUUCGUUUCAGGGCUGCCGUGUAGGUAUCACGUUCCCUUUUCCUCCUUCUCUUCUUUGUUUAAUUUCUUCUUUUUCCUAUUUUCAUGAAAAUGCAUUUUCCAUCAAGGGUUGAUUGCGUCACUACCUCUGAAGCACUUGCUUUAGAGCUCUGUUGGUGACCUAAGUGUAGGAUCUCUACUCAUGCACUAGGUUUAGCAACCCACUCUCACUCGCUUCGUUGCUAGGGCAAACCCAAAGAGGAUAGCUAGGGUUUCAAAAUCAUUAAUUUGUUCAAAGUUCAAUUGAUUUGUUUAUUCCCAAAAUCCCUAAAUCUUAAAACCCUAAAUUCCUCUAUUCUUUCUUUCUUGUGAUUGAAAUACCCUGAUUCUUAGCACAGAAUGUUGCAUCGUAAGGAGAUUGAGAUUGAAGCAAAGGCACUGCGUUUUGAGAAGAUUAAGGCAUAUGAAAUUGUAGAACUCUUAAUCAACUGAAUAUGGAAGGUUAAAAGUUUCCACGGGUGAAAUUGCUACACUACCUCAAGGUUUUCGUUUUUCUCUGCUGCAGUUCAAGAUUUUUCUCCCUUCAAUGUCUUUGCUUCACAUGUUUCUUUUUGUCAUGUUAAUACAGGGUUUCAUCAAAAAUAAUGAAAGGGCGUUAUAGGAGCUAUUUGCGGAUGAAGAGGAUAAUUAUAGAGGUGUUGCAUGUUUGAAUGUGACAGCAAAACAAAUUGCUAUUUGCUUCUUUAAGAGGAUAAUUAUAGCGAGAUUUGUUGAUUUUCUCUAGAAAAAGUAACAGGACAAAAGGCUUUAAGGAUUAUAUUUUAUAGGAAUGGUUUAAGUGAAGGAAAAUUUUACCAAGUUCUACUAUACGAUUUGGAUGUAAUUCGAAAGUGAUGAAGCAGUUUGAGAUUGCAGAACUGGUGGAGAAUUUGAGGGCAUCAAAUAGUCAAGUAAACUUUUUUUUGUGAUCAAGACAACCCAAUGAUAAUGAUUAUGGAUAUUAUGUGUGUCGAUAUAUGAAAGACAUUAUCACAUGUGAAGGAGGAACAAUUUCAACUAAGAUAAGUUAUCUUCAUUGUCAUAAUUAAUUUGCAGAAAAAAUUUAGUUGACUAAUUUUAUAUUAUUUUUUUUGUUGCAGUAUUUUCCUAAUUGCAGAUAUCAACAAUAUCAUGACAAUCAAAUUAUUGAAGUUAGGGAAGAUUGACGUUUACAUAUAAUUAGUACAUGUUUAUAGGUUAUGUUAUGGUGAUAUACAUGCUUAUAGGAUAUAAAUAGUAUAUAUAUGUUAUGGUUGUAUAUACGUCUUAUAGAACAAUGUCAUGUCAUGACACAUACUUGAUGAUUCAACGAUAAUAUUUUGAAA